UACGGGGGGGGCAAGCGUUGUUCGGAAUUACUGGGCGUAAAGCGCGCGUAGGCGGUUACUUAAGUCGGAUGUGAAAGCCCUCGGCUUAACUGAGGAAGUGCACCCGAAACUGAGUAGCUAGAGUACGAAAGAGGGUCGCGGAAUUCCCGGUGUAGAGGUGAAAUUCGUAGAUAUCGGGAGGAACACCGGUGGCGAAGGCGGCGACCUGGGUCGAGACUGACGCUGAGGCGCGAAAGCGUGGGGAGCAAACAGG
This 253-nucleotide ribosomal RNA is filed under the name uncultured bacterium. RNAcentral describes it as "partial 16S ribosomal RNA". It matches the Rfam family "Bacterial small subunit ribosomal RNA", at positions 524 to 776 of the family's 1533-position model. The record is from RNAcentral.